RNAcentral lists this transfer RNA (88 nucleotides) under Rosellinia necatrix. It matches the Rfam family "tRNA". Rfam says of the family: Transfer RNA (tRNA) molecules are approximately 80 nucleotides in length. The record is from Rfam by way of RNAcentral. Lineage: Eukaryota; Fungi; Ascomycota; Sordariomycetes; Xylariales; Xylariaceae.
CUCCUGAUGGCACAGUUGGUAGCGCGUUGGACUGUAAUUGAAAUUGCUUGUAAUCCACAGGUCGUGUGUUCGAAUCACACUCAGGAGA